Tyto alba (common barn owl) is the source of this 2429-nucleotide long non-coding RNA. RefSeq lists it as uncharacterized. The transcript has 3 exons. The record is from RefSeq and is a predicted model, not a curated record. NCBI's taxonomy places the organism in Eukaryota, Metazoa, Chordata, Aves, Strigiformes, Tytonidae.
UGCUUUGAUAGCAGAUUAUGUGUAUAUGCUAAGGCUGCAAAAGCCAGAAGUUGAGGCAGAGGGUGAUGUACUGAUGAAGAUGAGUCGGAGAUUCAGUCUGCUUAACCAGAGCUGCUGAAAGCCCCUGUUAUUUACGCUUCUGGGGACAAACUUCUGACCAGGGCAGGACGCGGGGCCGCGACAGGGGCCUGCCCUGCUGACUUCUCUGCGCCGGGUCUCUAGGGGCUGUCCGAGGCUUGCAGCGGGGGACGCGGGAGCAACCAGCUGGCAGUAAAGAGAAACGGCACCGUCCGAACUCUCUCUACCGCUGAUGACAAAAGGCAUUGCAAUAUCACUAAAAAAUGUAAUCUUCGUGGAUAUUUUGGGAUUUUUUUUUUUUCAAGCACUCUGAAGUCAUAUAUCCCUUUUAUAGAGAAGAAAGCCGCAGCCCAGGAAACAUUGCUCAGCCGUGGAGUAUAGACAGCGUGGUGGGAGCAACGCUUGUCUGUUUGGACUGGUUUGGACGGAGAAGGAGGUAAAGGGAGCGAGAGCCGCAAGUGUGCGAGUGCAGUUCUGCGCCGUUCCUCGCCCCACGCCCGGGACGCCGCUCUCCGGCCUCCUGUCACCCACCAAACGCUGCCUCCUGCCCGUUUUGUGAGCAGCACCCGUUCCUGCCGCCGGGAACCGUGCCCGCUGCCCACAGAGCUUGCCAGCAGGGAGAGCGGGAGGAGAUGGGGUCCCCAGGCGUAAGGCAAAAAAAAAAAAAGACCAUUUUGAUGUACAAGGUAACGACCCCCGCUGAGACUCCAGCAAGUCUGGAGCCGUGCUUCAAGGGGGAAGGUUUAAAGCAGUGUGGUGGUAUUAAAGAAUGUUUAGUUGAGACAAAAACACCCAUUGCUUGGUGCUCUGUAUAGGUGAAAAUUGCAAGUCUGGCCGGAGUUAUGGGAAUAUGUGCGUUAAAGUUAGUUUAUUUGCUUCCUUCAUGUUUGUGUGGACUCUUCCCCAGCACUAGUUUCUCUCUGUUUUGGACUUGUGUUUGUACCAUGGUAAUUUUCUGGGAAAUGAAUUUUCUCUGCUGGAAGCGAAGUUUCUUGUUCCUGUACUAUUUCCCCGCUGAGGCAGCAAUACCUUUUUCUGCAGAAAGCGCUUGAGGAGCACAAACCGUGUGUUUGGGUAUCAAGGCGGUCGGCAUAUUGAAUUAAGACCACAAGACACUGAUUUUCUUGACCUCUGGUGUGACUCUUCCCCCUGCACCGUCCCAUUUCCCCAUCCACAAAAUGGAAAUACAGUAUGUUUGGGCUCUGCCUGCACUCACUGCUGAUGGAGGUCCCGCAAGGUCUUGCGGUUGGCCUGGGGAUGCAGCUGGGUGGUGAUGGGCACUGCUCCCCCUUGCCCGCGCUCCUGCGCUUCUGCCCAGGGGGUUGUCUUACCCCGAGAUCUGCAGGGGCAGCUUGAAUAAGUACACAGGUAUGCUCCUAUGUAGUCUCAAGGACUACGGUAGUGCCAGUUGCUGUAGAAAUGCUGGGUUUAACCAGAUUGUUACGAGUAACUGAUGUUCUUUCCUCUGUGUUUAGGAUGGAAUUGCUGCCCUGGAUGGUCACAGGGACCCCGGUCCUGGUAUUUAUUUUGAAACUAUCCUCACUGGUUUUUGUGAAUUUUAUAACUCAACAUAUGUUGCCUGGCCCAGAAGAACUGGAUUUAUCAAGGCCUUUGCUUCAUCAUCCAAUACAUGCUAGUCUGUUGGUUUGCACCUGCUUGCAAUUUAUCAAAGUCUCUUUUAAAUGAAGGGGCAGGUGUGAAAGGCAGAAGCUAUUUCGCACCUCUGGGAUAAUCGGAGGUGUCAGACACUUAACGAUAACGUAUACUUCCCGUUGCUCAGUGCGAUUUUCAGCGCAAGCUAACAGUGCGAGGGCAAUUUUCUGGAAUGAGUUGAAAACGUAUGAAGUUGCUCAGUGCUUUUUUUCAGUCUGAGCAGCAAGUCCAAUGGCUGGACACGAAUUGGGUACGAGGACUUAAGAGCAUUGCUACCCCAUAUUCUUGUAUUUCCCACAAUCCAGGUCAGUAAUGUUUAUGCUUGCCCAUCCCUCAGUCUGUGAUUCCGCUGGGCAUGUUCCUGGUGGAGGUGGGUGGGCCAGCAUGGGGGCCUGGGAGCAUUGCCUGAAGCUCACAGCUGGGCUACUGAAUGCUGUGCCCUUUAUAGUAAGAGGAAAGGGUGGAAAUCCAGCAGUCUUCCAUAAUCAGAAAUCUUGUAAAACCAGAAAUGCACCUUUGAAGUUCACAGAAUCGUAGAAAACCAGGUCGAAAGGGACCUCAAGGAUCACCUGGUCCAACCUUUCUUGCACCCUGUCCAGCCAAAUCUUAGAAGUGCCCGAUAUUGGGGAACCCACCACUUCCCUGGGGAGGUUAUUCCAGUGGCUGAUUGUUCCCAUUGUAAAAAACUUUCCUCUUGU